CUGCUCACGCUCCUUCCCCAGCACCUUAGAGGCUGGGUGAGCCGCAGCCGGCGGUUCUGUACCGCGGCUCCCUUCCCAGGCUGAGUCCAGCGGGCUGCAAAGUGCCCCCCGCCGCUUGCCUGUGAGCCCUGCAGCGGAGCCCCACCCAUAAAGUUACUGUUUAUGCUGCCCAGUUACAAUAUGGCGGCUCCCAUGGAGGAAGCGUGAAUCUCUCCUGCCUGCUUUGGCUUCCUGCUGCAGUGGUGCCUGUGGCACCAAAGUACUGGAACUUGAAGAGUUCCUAUUGCCACAGAAAUCUGCGGAUUUCUUUCUGCAGUUGAACAUCAACAUUUCAUCUUCAGAGACUGCUGUCUCAGUGACAACACUGUGGAAGAAAGUAUUUUGUGGGCAUUACCAACAAGCCAUCUCUGAAGCCCGGUGUCUCCAGAUAUGUUAUUGGGAGAGAAACCGGAUCAGACCCAGCUGCCUUGUACAUACCAAACAACUCACUGUUUCGUCUUACAAGAGUCAUGGACAGUUAUUUCCAUCUCAUUCUUUUGGGGGGAAAAAUGCCAGCCUCUUUAAGAAAACUACAGCAAAUGGCUAUUUAUCUGGGGCUGUUAAGUGGUGGGGGAUGUGCUGUGAUGUAUUAUCUUAUGCAAAAAAAUUUUGCCAGGACACAGUAUUAUCAGCUGGCUAUUGAGCAGCUUAAGAAUGACCCUGCAGCCUUGGAGGCACUGGGGGCUCCCCCUCUUAAAGUUCACAACAUCAGACUGACAGACAAGAGUAAUCGCGUUGACAUGGCCAGAGCACAGUUAAAGAUACCAGUAUCUGGAACAAAAUCAGCUGGAUAUCUCUGUACCAAUUCAGUAAGAGACCUCUCCCUUAACUGGUUAAUUCGUUGUGAUGGAGCCAUGGAGAAGCCAUGCCUUCAGGCAGAGUUUUCCUAGAUUCAGGUGAAGAACAAGACCCUCAUCCUGAGAGAGAGGAAGGGUGUACGGGGUGCAAAGCGCCAUGCUGUUCAGUCUCAUGUUCCAGAGGGAUGUUCUGACUUUGUGCGACCCAUUUGAGUAAGUCCUGGAAUCGUUUUGAGUCAUCUGUGAUGGCAGACAGAGAUGGCAAUACCGCCUUGUCUGGAGAUGAAGAUAAAUUGUGGGCUGGUGAGCAGUCUUGUGGAUUGGAAUCCUCCAACUCCUUGGAAUCCACAUGCACCUCCGAGGGCUCAGUGGCUGUCACUGUAGAAGGGUGAAUCUGUCACCUCUGUGGGGUGUGAGGUAAAUUUCUGACACCGCCCCUGGAGCUCCAUCUGCAGCUGAGGGCGGUCAAGAAGGAACUGAGGGGGUCAGGACGCGCGAGCACUAGAUGAAGCGCCAACAGUACCGUGAGACAGCUACUGCACACGCACAUCCCAACCAGGCACUGCUCCCAAAAACCUCUGAUCAGCAGCGCCAGGACACAUCGACACCUGAAGUGGAGCAUCCACAGGGACAGCUCUCAAAGAAGAACUUAACCAUACUAAAUACCUCAGUGGAGAAAAAAAAAGUUACACUGUCAAGACUCCACUAAUAGGAGGCUACAGCUUUAGACUCGGGAGUCUUUCAGCUUUAUUUAAAUGGGACCUACUUAAUCUAAAUCACAGGCAUGAUUUAAGUCCACAUUUUCUCACAGUGGAAUUAGAAAUAUCAGAUAUUUCCACCCAUGUGCAGGGACAGAAAACAUUUUUGAUAGCUGGGUGCUAACUGUUGGCAAAAUAUUGACUAAGUGGCAACUCCUGCAAUGCCAGGAAGAACAGAUACUUAUCAACCUCUUUUGAGGUUGUUUUACAGUCCUAGGAUUUCAAGCAAGUUUCAAAAAAAUUCACGAAGGCAUCCAAAAAAUUGGGCACCAAGGCAUCCAUCCACCAAAGUACUUAAACACAUGGCUAAUUUGACUUCACUGGCUACUGUUGUAGUGCUUCUCUGUGUUAUUUUAAACUUCCUUUAAAUGAGUCACUGUUAUAGACCGACAUGUUGAAAGAGGUGGUGCUGAACAAUUCAAUUAGAUUGCAGUAAAUCUUCAGGACUAGAUUAUUAUAGGUGAGGCUCAUAAUGCUGCUAAUUAUGAAGGUUUUCUGACACCUCCCAUUGUAAGACUGUUUUCAGUUGCUUACAAAACUUUGUCCAACUUUAACCAUUUAGGCUGAAAUUUAUCAUGCUAAGCUGGGGCUCUGACAGUGAACCUGGAGGGGGACAGUAAGACUGGCUAAGCAAGGAGACUUGGAAGAGGAGCCAGAAGAGUGGAAACUGGGACUGGGAGGGGGAACCUGGGGUGGGGAAGAGAAGGGGCAGAAGAGUCUAUGACCACUUCAGCACAAUCUCCUCCAGUGCCUGGAAUGGAAUCCAAGAUUCCUGGAGUUUCACCAUUCCUCUGCUGUCAGCAAAUAUAUCUGUGAAACCAACUGGCAAAAUGUGCAUCUCAAAUCCUGCGUAGUGCUGGUCCAGAUAGCAGCAAUAUGUUGUCAUCUUCUAUCAGUUACUCUGGUAGCUCAAGUGGCAGGGGUCUGUGAAGUGGAUCUAAAGAUUCCAACCCUGCUGACUACAUGUGGGUGCCAAUAGGAUGCCACAUAAUGGAAUUUCUCCCUCCCUCCCCCCAGUUUUGUCUUUGUAAAGAUUUAGGAAAUUAUACAGAAAACUAUGUUAAUAGACCAUUAAGGUUGCAAAAUAAAGCAUUCAGAAGUUAGAAAAUGCCUUCAUUAAGGUUGCUUGUGCAAGUCAGACCCCUUGUGCAUAUGCGCUAUAAUACAGUAUUUAGUAACAUGAUUGCAGACUAUUUGCCACAUUUUGUGUGUGUAAUAUACAUACAAGAGUACUAAAGUACUUUAAGAAAAAUGGCUACUGAACUGCUAAUAAAGAUGUUUUGCAUUAAAGUCAAUUACCGCACUGGAGAGUAACAAAAGUACCUAUCUUAAAGGAACUAGAUGUGAUCUUGGAAAUUACGCAUCAGUCAACCUUACUGCAGUAUCAGUUUCCCCUCAAAGGGCUGAUCCUCCACCAUGAACUGGACAUCCUUGGGAAAUCUGGAGGAUUAGAGCCACAACAACCAAUGCACGACCACAGAAGUUGCCAUCAAGAACAACAUUAUAUCUGCUGUAUCAACUAAGGCUUGAAGGGAUGCUCUGGCUAGCAAUUUACCCUCAAUGAGUGCUUGGAAUUGCAGCCUAUCUUUUUGUGGGAAUUAGUGAAUUCCUCAAACUUAGUAUAAUUAAUAAAAUCAUAUUCUGACAUUAAGGUUUGGUAAUUUGCUAUGUGAAACUGUACACUCAAAGUCAAUAUUUUUCUUCCAAAAAGUUAUAAGUAUUUAGCUUUCUUAUCAGAGGGGAGUAGACACGGUCUACUUCUCUCAGUAACAGCUUGUACUACUAAUGAAUUCAGAGCAGGGCAUAUAAAUAAAAAUUCUGCCCUUUAGAUGGCACAGAGUACUUCUCCAUUCUUUUUGGAGUGAAGGCACAAGUGGCUGGAGUGUGCCAGAUGGUCUUGGCUGAUUCUAAAAUGGCUUCGUUAAUGGGACCAGUCUCUGGAGAAUGCAGAGUAAAUUAUGAGGAAUGUCCUGCAAUUCCUCCAGAGGGAUACGGAAUGUGUCUGCAAUCCUCCUCAGUAAAUCUUCAAGUUGCCUGUUACCACUAGGCAGUGAUGGUGAAGCCAGUACAAUCACAUCUGGAGAUGAAGAUGACAUUAGGGCUGGUGGUUCUGUCUGAUCUAGUUCCUCCUCUUCCUCCACUAGUUCUUGAGGAGGUUCGGGAUCUUCUCUGCGAACGAAGUGUUGUCUGGAUUCCCAAUGGGAUCAUCUAGAUUCAAGAUAUUGCAUGUAUGGAUCCGAUAGUAUCCAGUAAGGCCAGUUUGAGAGGUCAAAUGGAAAUUGGGAUAGUCACCAUGGAGGAGACUACCACUAGUCUCCAGGUGCACAAUCCCUCUUAUGAAAUCAGGAUGGUGCCUAUGAGACUCUGGGUCCUCUGUCUGGACUGAUCCUUUGUCUCUAUGGGAGUGGUGAUGAUCUCCCACUAAACCUGACUUUUCAGAAGCACUGGCAGUUUUGAAUUCUAUGGAUGGUGCUGCCUUAUUAUGCCCAACUGGUAGACUGUAGGGAGAGCCACUCACCAGUACCUUGCAUGCUCUGGACCAGUGGUGUAGAGACCUUCCUGGUCAGAACGGGUUCCAACAGAAUUGGGGAUUCCAAGACCACAUAGAUGGACUUGUCCUUGGGGGCCUCAUAUGUAUCUCCUAAUGC
Non-coding RNA from Caretta caretta (loggerhead turtle), 4242 nucleotides. The record is from RefSeq and is a predicted model, not a curated record. NCBI's taxonomy places the organism in Eukaryota, Metazoa, Chordata, Testudines, Cheloniidae.